GACGAACGCUGGGGCGUGCUUAACACAUGCAAGUCGAACGGAAAGGCCCUGCUUUUGUGGGGUGCUCGAGUGGCGAACGGGUGAGUAACACGUGAGUAACCUGCCCUUGACUUUGGGAUAACUUCAGGAAACUGGGGCUAAUACCGGAUAGGAGCUCCUGCUGCAUGGUGGGGGUUGGAAAGUUUCGGCGGUUGGGGAUGGACUCGCGGCUUAUCAGCUUGUUGGUGGGUAGUGGCUUACCAAGGCUUUGACGGGUAGCCGGCCUGAGAGGGUGACCGGCCACAUUGGGACUGAGAUACGGCCCAGACUCCUACGGGAGGCAGCAGUGGGGAAUAUUGCACAAUGGGCGGAAGCCUGAUGCAGCAACGCCGCGUGCGGGAUGACGGCCUUCGGGUUGUAAACCGCUUUCGCCUGUGACGAAGCGUGAGUGACGGUAAUGGGUAAAGAAGCACCGGCUAACUACGUG
This 466-nucleotide ribosomal RNA is filed under the name uncultured bacterium. Its description in RNAcentral is "partial 16S ribosomal RNA". It matches the Rfam family "Bacterial small subunit ribosomal RNA", at positions 28 to 507 of the family's 1533-position model. The record is from RNAcentral.